This 348-nucleotide long non-coding RNA is filed under the name Mytilus galloprovincialis (Mediterranean mussel). Lineage: Eukaryota; Metazoa; Mollusca; Bivalvia; Mytilida; Mytilidae. The record is from RNAcentral.
AAAUGGUCAGUUGACCCCUUUAGGAGUUAUUGCCCUUUAUAGUCAAUUUUUAACCAUUUUUCGUAAAUCUUAGUAAUCUUUUACAAAAAUCUUCUCCUCUGAAACUUCUGGGCCAAAUUAAUCCAAACUUGGCCACAAUCAUCAUUGGGGUAUCUAGUUUUAAAAAUGUGUGGCGUGACCCUGCCAACCAACCAAGAUGGCCACCAUGGCUAUAAAUCGAACAGAGGGGUAAAAUGUAGAUUUGGCUUAUAACUCUAAAACCAAAGCAUUUAGAGCAAAUCGGACAAAGGGUAAAAUAAUCUAUUAGGUCAAGAUCUAUCUGCCCUGAAAUUUUCAGACAAAUCGGAC